Molecule: ribosomal RNA, 130 nt
Filed under: Acinetobacter baumannii
Lineage: Bacteria; Pseudomonadati; Pseudomonadota; Gammaproteobacteria; Moraxellales; Moraxellaceae
Description: partial 23S ribosomal RNA
Rfam family: Bacterial large subunit ribosomal RNA (bases 1-112)
Source: RNAcentral
GACUUUAUGUCCUCUAAAGAGCCGUUCGAGACUAGGACGUUGAUAGGUUGGAUGUGGAAGCAUAGUGAUAUGUGAAGCUGACCAAUACUAAUUGCUCGUGAGGCUUGACUAUACAACACCCAAGCAGUUG